AUACGUAGGGGGCGAGCGUUGUCCGGAAUGAUUGGGCGUAAAGGGCGCGUAGGCGGCCCGGUAAGUCUGGAGUGAAAGUCCUGUUUUUAAGAUGGGAAUUGCUUUGGAUACUGUCGGGCUUGAGUGCAGGAGAGGUAAGUGGAAUUCCCAGUGUAGCGGUGAAAUGCGUAGAUAUUAGGAGGAACAUCGGUGGCGAAGGCGGCUUACUGGGCCUUUACUGACGCUGAGGCACGAAAGCGUGGGGAGCAAACAGGAUUAGAUACCCUGGUAGUCCACGCUGUAAACGAUGAUGACUAGGUGUGGGGGGACUGAACCCUUCCGUGCCGCAGUUAACACAAUAAGUCAUCCACCUGGGGAGUACGGCCGCAAGGUUGAAACUCAAAUGAAUUGGCGGGG
This 396-nucleotide ribosomal RNA is filed under the name uncultured bacterium. RNAcentral's name for it is "partial 16S ribosomal RNA". It matches the Rfam family "Bacterial small subunit ribosomal RNA", at positions 523 to 918 of the family's 1533-position model. The record is from RNAcentral.